UACAGGUUUGCACAGGGAUUAAAGCUGCGACAAAUCGAUCUAAUUCAAGAUGGUGUUUCUAGAAGCACACGUACGCUGUCCAAAAUGAGUAAAAAACUGCGAAGGAUCUGCAAAAGAGCAUUAAUCGAAAAAGGAGAAGCACAGGACAACACCUGGGAGGACACAGGGAGUUUGUAGUAAUAGACGAAAGUAACUUCUGCCACAAACGCAAGUAUGGUCGAGGUAGAUUUGGCCGGACCUGGAACAGAAGAAAGUGGGUUUUUGGAUUACUGGGCGUCAGGGAACAAAGAAGAAGACCCAUUCUCCGAUUGGUGGAAAAAAGAUCUCGACGUCAUUUACUUCCAAUUAUCAGAAAGCAUGUACGUAGAGGUUCAACAAUUAUCAGUGAUCAAUGGAGGGCUUACAUGGGUGCUCUUCAUAAUGCAGGUUACACACAUUUUAGUGUAAACCACAAGAGAUGGUUUGUUGACCCUCAGAGUGGUGGUCAUACACAACAUUUGGAAAGAGCUUGGGGUAUCUACAAAGGCCAGAUCUGGAGACUACGAGGUAACAGAACUGAAAAACUGUUAAAGGAGCACCUGUCAGUUAUUGAGUGGACCUACUGGCUGGGAAAGAACCACCAUGAGGGUCCUCUUGGGCGUCUCCUUAAAGACAUACGCCAGUAUUUUCCAGUGUAGGCAACCAUUUCAAAAUGUUUAAAACAAAGCAGUUAUAAAAAAUAACUAUAUACAGUAUUGUGCAAAUGUUUCGGCACCUGUGGGAAUGUCGUUAAAGAAUAAGCUUCUUAUUUGUGAAGUUAUUUUUAGUUCUCAUCAUAUCAACACCUGGUUUGGUAAAUUGGUAAAUUUGGUAAAUCAGGUGAGCUGCUGACGGAACUGAACAUAUACACAUGCUGGCUGAAUAAAUGCAUCCAGGAGAAAUCUGGAAGUACACUUUAUUUUUCAGCUUGGCUCACAGGAUGUAGCAUAUUUAGUUAAAAAUAUUAUGUUUUGCUGUUUUUAUGUUUAUUUGCAUCUGUUCAGAUUCAUAUGUGGUGCUUUUUUCAGGUAAAAACACUCAUAUUGCUAAUAAAUUAGUUUAAUUUGCUUUGGUACAUCAAGAUCACUGCUGGACUGCGAGUGGUCAACCACCCAAACGUAUCACGGUGUCAAGAGUAGCUCUGUGGGAAGAAACUGACACAACUUUGUAUAAACAGACAAACUACAGUAUCUGUGGUAGUGUGGUGGGUCAGUACAGAGGUUCAUUACACAGUGUGUAAAUGUGUGUAUUAGUAAAAUUCCUGUUACACUUUAAUUGUGCAGUUGUAAAGAUUGUUUUUUUCUUUACAGUGUUACAAAUAAAAAAAGUGAUUCCUUUUGCACAUCA
Long non-coding RNA from Astyanax mexicanus (Mexican tetra), 1365 nucleotides. RefSeq lists it as uncharacterized. NCBI's taxonomy places the organism in Eukaryota, Metazoa, Chordata, Actinopteri, Characiformes, Acestrorhamphidae. The record is from RefSeq and is a predicted model, not a curated record. The transcript is spliced from 2 exons.